Molecule: ribosomal RNA, 428 nt
Filed under: uncultured bacterium
Lineage: Bacteria
Description: bacterial SSU rRNA
Rfam family: Bacterial small subunit ribosomal RNA
Source: RNAcentral
UAGGGAAUCUUCCGCAAUGGACGAAAGUCUGACGGAGCAACGCCGCGUGAGUGAAGAAGGUUUUCGGAUCGUAAAACUCUGUUAUCAGGGAAGAACAAGUACCGUCUAACUAACGGUACCUUGACGGUACCUGACCAGAAAGCCACGGCUAACUACGUGCCAGCAGCCGCGGUAAUACGUAGGUGGCAAGCGUUGUCCGGAAUUAUUGGGCGUAAAGCGCGCGCAGGCGGUUUCUUAAGUCUGAUGUGAAAUCUCGCGGCUCAACCGUGAGCGGUCAUUGGAAACUGGGAAACUUGAGUGCAGAAGAGAAGAGCGGAAUUCCACGUGUAGCGGUGAAAUGCGUAGAGAUGUGGAGGAACACCAGUGGCGAAGGCGGCUCUUUGGUCUGUAACUGACGCUGAGGCGCGAAAGCGUGGGGAGCGAACAGG